Molecule: ribosomal RNA, 92 nt
Organism: Actinobacteria bacterium OK074
Lineage: Bacteria; Bacillati; Actinomycetota; Actinomycetes
Rfam family: Bacterial small subunit ribosomal RNA
Source: Rfam
UUCACGGAGAGUUUGAUCCUGGCUCAGGACGAACGCUGGCGGCGUGCUUAACACAUGCAAGUCGAACGAUGAAGCCCUUCGGGGUGGAUUAG